CAGCAGCCCGGGAAAACGUAGGGUGCAAGCGUUGUCCGGAAUUAUUGGGCGUAAAGAGCGUGUAGGCGGCUCGACAAGUCCGCUGUGAAAGUCCAGGGCUCAACCCUGGAAUGCCGGUGGAUACUGUCGAGCUAGAGUCCGGAAGGGGCGAGUGGAACUCCUGGUGUAGCGGUGAAAUGCGCAGAUAUCAGGAAGAACACCAAUGGCGAAGGCAGCUCGCUGGGACGUGACUGACGCUGAGACGCGAAAGCGUGGGGAGCGAACAGGAUUAGAUACCCCAGUAGUCCCUGUCUCUUAUACA
Molecule: ribosomal RNA, 301 nt
Filed under: uncultured bacterium
Lineage: Bacteria
Description: partial 16S ribosomal RNA
Rfam family: Bacterial small subunit ribosomal RNA
Source: RNAcentral